CAAUAGCGUAUAUUAAAGUUGUUGCGGUUAAAAAGCUCGUAGUUGGAUUUCUGCUUGGGACAACCGGUCCGCCCUCUGGGUGAGUAUCUGGCUUGGCCCGGGCAUCUUCUUGGGGAACGUUACUGCACUUGACUGUGUGGUGCGGAGCCCAGGACCUUUACUUUGAGGAAAUUAGAGUGUUUCAAGCAGGCAUUUGCCUUGAAUACAUUAGCAUGGAAUAAUAAGAUAGGACCUCGGUUCUAUUUUGUUGGUUUCUAGAGCUGAGGUAAUGAUUAAUAGGGAUAGUUGGGGGCAUUCGUAUUUAACUGUCAGAGGUGAAAUUCUUGGAUUAGUUAAAGACGGACUACUGCGAAAGCAUUUGCCAAGGAUGUUUUCAUUGA
Molecule: ribosomal RNA, 380 nt
Filed under: uncultured eukaryote
Lineage: Eukaryota
Description: partial 18S ribosomal RNA
Rfam family: Eukaryotic small subunit ribosomal RNA
Source: RNAcentral